Molecule: long non-coding RNA, 5256 nt
Filed under: Lynx pardinus (Iberian lynx)
Lineage: Eukaryota; Metazoa; Chordata; Mammalia; Carnivora; Felidae
Source: RNAcentral
GCCCCUCCUAAAGGUAGAAAGAUCAAGGAAUAAGACAGUAAUGUUAUAAAUCAGCCUGUACACACAGAUAUAUCUCCAAGCCAAUAUUAACUUCUAGAGCACAUUUCUCUUAAACAAUGAACACUCUAGUUAGUAUACAAGUUAAAAGUCUCUACCUAUUUUCAAUUUUAAAAUAGUUUCUCAAUGUUUUAGUGGUAUGAUGUAUUUGCACAUAUAGUUUUUUCAAGUACUAUUGUAUGGGGAAGUAAUUGACAAGGCCAUAAUGAAAGAAGACCUACACUGCGUUCCUCUCCUUCUUUGUGGAGGCCACUUUAAGGGUCUCAGCUUUACACAAAAGGGUCUGCCACCCAGGACCUAUAUGCCACACCAGCAACAAGGGUGCAGUGGGCCAUAGCACAGCAAAAUAUGACAGAAGAGAGAAAAUACUAAGCAGAAGAGACAGCUGAAACAAAGAAGCAGGAGGGGGUGGCACAAAUGCCUCCUAUCCCAGGUGUAUUAAGUGAUCAGAGAAGUGACAGUCACCAUACAGUUGGGUUACAGCCAUAAAAUGAGACAACUGAGCCCCAUCUGGGGUGAGAUUAAUUUUCUGUCCCUUAUUUAUCCCCUAAUUUUUAAAAAUUCCAAAUAUCACAUCUACUAUGAAAGAAGAUUCCAAACACAAGUACUACUUUUCCUGCAAUACAAGCAAAUUUCCCGUUAUCUCUUCUGAAUCUUACUAGCAACACUGUCAUGUUCACAGAGUCGAAUCCUUUUUUCUAAAGCAACAUAUUAUAGGAAUGAACUUUAAAGAUGAAAUAAGUGUAAGAGAUAUGAUUAUCUCUGCCACACAACGAGAAACAAUAAUGAGGUAGUGUGGUUUUCUGUAUAGCACUUCCCUUACUAUCAUCCCAUGCUAUACUCUCCUUGGUUAUUCUCAUAUUCCCAUCUACCCUGAGAGUUAAAGAGAACAUGGAUAAUUACUCCAUCUACAGACUCAAAGGCAUUCCCAAGUUCCCAUUGUUGGGUGAACUGAACCCAGACCUUGAUUCCUAUGAUUCCAAUUACGGAGCUUUGUUAAUUUGCCUAUAAAUCUUGACUUUGCAUUCCCAUCUUUCAAACUAUCAUUUCAGCAUAAAAAUAUCAAAGGGAAGCUAUGAACUAAUAAUUAGCAUAUCACUUUAACAAGGCCUACAUCUAAGAAUCACCAUGGUAAAUGUAGGUAGUAUGUAGGACACAACCUCAGAAAUAUUCUCAGAAUUCCAAGAAGUAAGAACAAGCAUACUUACUUUUGUGGCAGCUUUAACACUAGACAAUGCAUGUGCUAUGAAGUAACCAUUUCUCUCUUCCUCCUCCUUACAGCACAAAGUAACAGAUGGGCUAUCUCAACUAAAAAUGUCAGCACUUUAUUGACCAAGCUUCUCCUAGAUUCCAUAAUAGCAAUAUGUGAAUUAUGAUUUCUCUUUUCAGGGACUAAGGGGGCAUAAUUAUUAUUCAGGAAAACUUGCUUGCCUUUUUUCACACUGCCAUUUCAAAUGUUAUUCCAUUUUUAAGACACUUGUAUUUUUCUCAUUCUACAAUAUUGUCCUAUGUAAGAAGUAUUUCCUUCCUGACUCAUAAUUCAAUGCUUAGACUAUUAGACCAUACCACCUGCUAUAGGGUGACAUGCAUCUCAUUAAAGAUAGCUGCCGUUAUUAAUGAUCAAGCACAGCUCAAUGAGUACAGUAAAAACUUUAAACAUAAGCAUAAAGCAAAACGCUAAAGAUAAAUUAGGGCUGCAAGGAAACUCAGCUUCAAUAAAGCAUCUGGCUGAAAUAUCUAUAUUCAGCUUCAGUCUAAUACACCAGAAAAUACUGGAUUUUGAGUAUUAACUACAGGCCUUCUACAUAACAAAUAUUCAUAUUUUUACUUCCCAUCCAUCCUACAAGUAAACCUAAACCCAAAUCUUAAAGCAUACCUAAAAACUUUAAUAGGAACUCUAUAUAAAUUCACAGAAAUCAUCUCUUUUGUUGGGCAUAUUUUAUGAAUUGGGUAUUAUCUGCAUUAGCAUGGUACAAGAAAUAUGUUAAAUAUUUUAAAUGACUUGAUUCAAAUUUCCAUUGUGCCUUCAUAUUGAGUAAAAUAACAAAAAGCAUUUCUCAAGAUAGUAUUGUUCAUAGUUUACCAUUGUUUCCUCCAAAUGUGAGAAAGGGUCUAAUUUAUGACAUUAUGCUAUGGUGUUUCCUUAUCUUGUUAAAUGAUGCCAUUUUCUGCCUUUCUCACCCAAACAGCAUCUGCUAGUCACAAAACUAGAAACACAUCUUUUAAUUAAAUGCUUAUUUUAUUUUCCCUAGGGACGAUGGAUUGUAGAAUUACUUUCUCAAGAUUUACUGUUUCCUUUCCCUUUAUCUCAAGCCUGGAUAUACAUUCAACAUGUCCUCUGAAGUAACAACCGUCCCAUCUGGCUGAGAAGUGAUGGACACCGUUCCUUAAUCACACCGUACACUCCGUUCUUGGCACCUCCAUGCCCAAAAGAUAUCAACAAAUUGGAUGGAAUUCAGAGAACAGCAAGAAAAAUGAUUAAAGAGAUGGAGGCACUGACUUAUGAGUAAAGAUGAAAGGACAAAAUCUGUAUAGCUUGGCAAAGCAACAACUGAGGUACCAUAUGAUAACUGGCUACAAGUGUUUGAAGAAAUGUAAACACCAAGAGAGGAGAGGGAACUUUUUAGGAUGAUCUACAGAAUAAGCAGAGCAAAAGAACAGAAUUGAAGAAAUGGGAGAGAUUUCCUAAAGAGGGGAUGUUUGCUCAUCUGUUGCAGAUGCUGAUAAAUACCAGAGUGAAGUCUAAAGAAAACAAUGUGUAUCUCAUGCUUUUAGGUGGCAAUCACGGUUGACCUACACCAAUAAAGUGGCAAUCUGUUUGUAUGCACACAUAUAAUAUUUGUGCUGUCUUUUUCAGUUUACCAAGUGCUUCCACACACAUCAUGUCAUUAAAUUAACAGAAUGAACUUAUGCCAUUACUAAUUAAUCUUAAAUAAGAAAAAGCAGAAGUUUCCUUCUGCCUAGGUAUUGAGGCAACCAGGUAAAUCACAAGCGAAACAUAUGCGACUCUGAAUUUAUAAUCUGCUUGCUUUCUCAACACUCUAUCUUCCAGAAUUCCAAUACAAUUUAGACUAUGCUCACUCACAAUCUAGAAAAAGUAUUUAAAGUUAUGUCUAAAGCAACAGUCCUCAUUCUACCUGUUCUCUUGCUGCUCUUUGCUGGAGGAGAUUAGACAUGAAGUAUUACCUGGGCAAAAUUUUGUGAGUAAUCUUUUAAUUCUAUUGAUGACCCAGUGGGAAAAUGACUCCUGUUUGGCUACUCUCUUCCCUUGGGUGAUGGGUUCCAUCAUGGCUUACUGCCUAAUUCUGUCAGCUGCAGCCCUCAGAUCAUUCAUUAAUGCAAAGUGUUAAGAUUCACUUAAUAUUAUACCCCACCCCAUGUAAGAAUAACCCGAAUAAAAUUCUUUAAAGAGUUGCAGCUCAAAUGUGCUAAGAGAUGUUAUGUGUGUAUUGUUCACUGGUUUCAGGUUGUGAAUCCUUUCCAACCACCUACCUACCACAUGUUAGGUUUCUGAUGGAGAUAUACUUGUAAAGUAAUUCAGUUAUGAAUAUUAUUAUUUCUAACUAGAGCAUUGGGUCCAAAUCCCCUAAAGAUUUCUAACAUUGAUGAAUUGGUCUGGAGUAUGUAUGAGUUACAAAGGCACUUCUGUAUAGAUAAGAGUCUGAAGUAUAUUCUCUGUUUCAUGCUUCCUUUCCCUGGUCCACAUAAUGAUUUCCUAUUAGCUUUCUCUAAGUUAUUGCUGGAAAGGAAAGAAAGACACAUUUCCUACCCAUUAGGAAACUCCAAAGUACCUAUACCAUAAAAUAUAUUGGAAAAAAAGUGAAAGGAUCAAUGUCAAAGUAAAUACUGUAAUGAGAACAUAAAAUCUCCCCCAAAUCAGGAGAAUCUUCCUUGUAGAACUAAGAACUUUUAGACAAUUUUCUCUUCAUCCUGAAAUUUGUGGACCUUUGCACAAAAUGUGUGUCCUUGAUCUAGAACAUAUAAAAACCUCUUGGGAAGUAUAAAGAAGUUGGAAAUGGUGAAACAUUGGCCUUUACUCUAAAAAAAAAAAAACUACAGGAUUUAUCUUAAAUACAAAGAGCUUAGCAAGCGAUGUUUUGGCAUGACAACCCUUCGGAAACAUCUAGGGGCGCCUGGGUGGCGCAGUCGGUUAAGCGUCCGACUUCAGCCAGGUCACGAUCUCGCGGUCCGUGAGUUCGAGCCCCGCGUCAGGCUCUGGGCUGAUGGCUCGGAGCCUGGAGCCUGUUUCCGAUUCUGUGUCUCCCUCUCUCUCUGCCCCUCCCCCGUUCAUGCUCUGUCUCUCUCUGUUCCAAAAAUAAAUAAACGUUGAAAAAUAGUGACAUCUACUCUAUAGCUGGAUCUGUCUGUUAGAUGUUAGAUGAUGGCAAGAUUUUGAGUGUAUAUAUUCUAGAGCAGUAGGUUUCAAAUUUUGAUGUAUAUAUCAAUCACUGGGGAAACUUGUUAAAGUGCAGGUUUGUAUAUAAGAGGUCUGGACUAGGGUCUGAGAUCUUGAAUUUCUAAUAAGUUCCCAGAUGAUGUUGAUGUUACUGGCCCAUGUACUGUAUUCAGAAUAGCAAGAUUCUAUAGGACAUUUUCAUUCUAGCUGUAUGGCACAGCAGUAAAAAAUGGCUACAACUAGCCAUGUACAUUUCAGAGAAAACUCACUUUUGAAUUAAAUUCAUUUCAUAUGGUAUUAACAGAAUGCAUGCAGGUAGCAGGCUCUUAUAUUGGUAGCUUUAUUUACAUUACAAUUUUAUAACAUUUUCCUUCUUUUAAUUCAAGUUCUAUUUUUAAAAAUAUGUUUUAAGUCCACACCCUGAUAAUAAUCCUACUUUGGAAAAGGGCCCUGUGGAAGGAAGGAAGGAAGGAAGGAAGGAAGGAAGGAAGGAAGGAAGGAAGGAAGGGCAGAAGAGGAGGGAAGGUGGGAGGGAGGGAGGGAGGAAGGGAGGAAGGAAAGAAGAGAAGAAACAAAGAAAGGAAGAAAAGAAAAAAAGAAAAGAGAAGAAAAGCUCCAGUCUGUCUGGACCUCUGAGAGAUAUCUUUUGCAAGGAAUUUUUAAGUUUGGGCCCAAAAAGUGGUCUUUCGUUCUUCAUCCUAGAGGCUAUAAUGGAAACUAGGAUGAAGAACCCAACAGUGGCUGUUUGGGAGUGGAGGAGGGGCCAUCCAGACCCAGUGAAUCACCAAGGAAACACAAGGCCU